GACGAACGCUGGCGGCGUGCUUAACACAUGCAAGUCGAACGGGGCUUGCCCUUUGGGGUGGGUUUAGUGGCGAACGGGUGAGUAACACGUGGGUAAUCUGCCCUCAGCUCUGGGAUAACUCCGGGAAACCGGGGCUAAUACUGGAUAUGACUACUGGUGACAUCGCCUGGUGGUGGAAAGAUUUUUUGGCUGAGGAUGGGCCCGCGGCCUAUCAGCUUGUUGGUGGGGUAAUGGCCUACCAAGGCUUCGACGGGUAGCCGGCCUGAGAGGGCGACCGGCCACACUGGGGACUGAGACACGGCCCAGACUCCCACGGGAGGCAGCAGUGGGGAAUAUUGCGCAAUGGGCGGAAGCCUGACGCAGCGACGCCG
Molecule: ribosomal RNA, 371 nt
Filed under: uncultured bacterium
Lineage: Bacteria
Description: bacterial SSU rRNA
Rfam family: Bacterial small subunit ribosomal RNA
Source: RNAcentral